Molecule: long non-coding RNA, 1312 nt
Filed under: Triticum aestivum (bread wheat)
Lineage: Eukaryota; Viridiplantae; Streptophyta; Magnoliopsida; Poales; Poaceae
Description: long non-coding RNA (TAES_LNC019920)
Source: RNAcentral
UGAAAUGUUAUGUGAACCAUUGUAUAGCUCUUAUGUUCAUCAUUACUUCCCUGUAUAGCUCUUCUGUUUAUCAUUACUUCCAGCUUGGUUGUUAUUUUUUGCAGUACUGGUAGAUCAGAUUGCCAUAGCCCAUAAUAUAAGUUCUAUGUUUGAUUGAUUUCCUCUACCAAUUCUAAAUAUAAUAAUCAAAAUUUGCAUUUGUUUAAUGCAGGAUCUGUUAUCAAAAUCGAGAGUUAGUGGUUCAAGUUUAUUAAAUCAUGUUAAGUGUAGUGUAACUUUGAAAGUGUCUCCACCUUGAACAUUUCAUUUAUUCUUGUUUUCUUUACCAUUAAUAGGUAUUAUUUAUACCUCAAUUCCAAAAUAAUUGAAUUUGACCAAGUUUAUUAGAAGCUAUAUCAACAUCUACACCACAUAAUUAGUUUCAUUAGAUUCAUUGUAAAAUACAUUUUUGUAAAAAAGAGCUCACUUCUCUGUUCUUGAUACUAUAGUAUACCUAUUAUGUCUGUUCUCACACGUAGAUAGGUGUAUUUGUUUACAUAAGAAAAAUGACACGAAGUUAGUUCAUGAUCAUGGCUUAGGGAAAAAAAGGUGUGCACUAUGGUAAAAAGAGGUACAGUUUUGUUGCAAGUAGUUUUCCAGAAACAAUAAUUUAUCUUGUUCCCAUCCCUUUAUUAUUUGUCAACACCCCUCUGAUCUUUGAGAUCAUAAUUUUUCAAAGGUACCUACAGUUGCACAACAAGGUGGAGCUCCUCAGUGCUUUGGCAUGGGUAAGCUCCUAUGCCCUUCAAGAUGAUUUGAACUAUUUGGCAUGAGGUUACUCGUGAUUAGUCGUCGAUGUUGUGUUGCUGCAAUGAAACAAUAUUGUUGAUUAAUGAAAGACAAGCAAUCCUGGCAUAACUCUUAAGUAUAUAGGCCUCACGAGUGAGGUUCAAAUCAUGUGAAAUAAAAAUGAUGGUUCAGAUGAUAAUAACUACUAUUUAUGUUGUUGUAAUCAACUUGCCAUUUUGUAACAGAAGCAUAUUGUUUGUUACAGGUUUACUUGGUGGUCGGAGCCACAAAGGAAGUUGGAGGUGUAGACGUGAACUUGAUGAUUAAGAGAGUCUGUACAAUCUUGUAUAUCUGUAGAUGUAAUCUGGUGUAAUUAUUAUUGAGGGCAUGUGAUCUGAUGUUGGAUGUAUUAUCUGGAUGUAUUAUUGGCCACCUUUUAGAAGGGCUUUACUCAGUGAAAUAUUGAAUGGAAAUUUGUCAAAUGCUUCAAAUUAUGGGCCUGUUCAAUAGAAAUUAAUUGUGUUGUGAAAGCUUGUUUGAUUAC